Xyrichtys novacula (pearly razorfish) is the source of this 1020-nucleotide non-coding RNA. The record is from the annotation of a GenBank genome assembly. NCBI's taxonomy places the organism in Eukaryota, Metazoa, Chordata, Actinopteri, Labriformes, Labridae.
GAACUCUUUUCCAACCUUAUGGAGUUCGUUAGACCAAAAAAACAAGAAAAAUGAAAAAAAAAUAUUUGGGGUGUUCGGACUUCCUGAAGGUAAUACCCGGGUAUUAGGUUAUGGGGCUAUGGUAAGGUUUAAGGUUUUUGACGUUAGGGUGAAAAUAACUGUCCAAAACCUUUGUAGGAACUCUUUUCCAACCUUAUGGAGUUCGUUAGACCAAAAAAAAAAGAAAAAUGAAAAAAAAAAUUUGGGGUGUUCGGGCUUCCUGAAGGUAAUACCCAGGCAUUAGGUUAUGGGGCUUAGGAAAUGUUUAAGGUUUUUGGCGUUAGGGUUAAAAUCACUGUCCAAAAACCUUUGUAGGAACUCUUUUCCAACCUUUUGGAGUUAGGUAGACCAAAAAAAAAAGUAAAAUUAAAAAAAAAAUAUUUGGGGUGUUCAGGCUUCCUGAAGGUAAUACCCGGGAAUCAGGUAAUGGGGCUAUGGUAAGGUUUAAGGUUUUUGGCGUUGGGGUUAAAAUCACUGUCCAAAACCUUUGUAGGAACUCUUUUCCAACCUUUUGGAGUCAGUUCGACCGAAAAAAAAGAAAAAUUAAAAAAAUUAUUUGGGGUUUUCAGGCUUCCUUGAGGUAAUACCCUAAUAUUAGGUUAAGGGGCUAUGGUAAGGUUUAAGGUUUUUGGCGAUAGAGUUAAACUAACUGUCCAAAACCUUUUUAGGAACAUGUUUCAGACCUUUUGGAGUUGGUUACACCAAAAAAAAUUGUAAAAUGAAAAAAAAAUAUUUGGGGUGUUCGGGCUUCCUGAAGGUAAUACCCGGGUAUUAGGUUUUGGGGCUAUGGUAAGGGUUCAGUUUUUUGGCAUUAGGGUUAAAAUUAUUGUCCAAAACCUUUGUAGGAACUCUUUUCCAACCUUUUGGAGUUAGACCAAAAAAAAAAGAAAAAUGAAAAAAAAAUAUUUGGGGUUUUCGGGCUUCCUGAAGGCAAUACCCGGGAAUCAGUUUCUGGGGCUUUGGGAAGGUUUAAGGUUUUUG